UCACCUGGUGGUGCUGGAAAAGAAGUCCGAACGGAGGAGCAGAGCUCGAUCCCAAUUAACAAUGUCGUCCGCAGCAAGAAGCACUGGUUCUCUCCCGGUGGCUAACGUCCAGGCGCUCGCGGAGGCUUGCAAUGACGACGGGGGCGACGUCCAGGUGCCCGAGAGAUAUCUCAGCAAGGAUCCCAGCAGCGCGGAGGAGGUCGUCGUCGUAGCCGGCGACGACAGCGCCUGCAGGGCGAUUCCUGUCAUCGAUCUCCGUAGCCCGUAGGUUGCUCGAUCCGGAGUCAUCGGAGGAGGAGACCGCCAAGCUGGCGUCUGCCUGCCUCGACUGGGGCUUCUUCCAGCUAAUCAACCAUGGAAUUCCGGACGAGGUGACCGGAAACCUGAUGAACGACGUGGCUGGGUUCUUCGGGCAGCCGCUGGACGCCAAGAAGGAAUGCGCGCAGCAGGCCGACAGCCUCGAAGGAUACGGGCAGGCCUUCGUGGUGUCAGAGGACCAGAAGCUGGACUGGGCCGACAUGCUCUUCCUCAUCGUGCAGCCGAGGGAGGCCAGGGACACGCGCUUCUGGCCGACGCGCCCCGCGUCCUUCGGGGACUCCGUGGACUCCUACUCCCUGGAAGCUUCGAGGCUAGCGUACCGCCUGCUGGAGCUCAUGGCCAGGGGCGUCGGGGCCGCCGACCCGGCGUCGCUAAGACGCGUGUUCGAGGGGCAGACGCAGGGCAUGCGGGUGAACUACUACCCGCCGUGCCGGCGGGCGGCGGACCGGGUGCUGGGCCUGUCGCCACACACCGACGCGUCCGGCCUGACGCUGCUGCUGCAGGCCAGCAACGGCGUGCAGGGCCUGCAGGUCAGGAAGGACGGCAGGUGGUUCGCCGUGGACGCCAUCGACGGCGCCCUCGUCGUCAACGUCGGCGACUUUCUUGAGAUCCUGAGUAAUGGAAAAUUCACCAGCGUUGAGCACAGGGCCGUGGUACACCCAACCAGAGAGAGAAUGUCGGCGGCGCUGUUCCUGUACCCUCGCCAGAACAUGAGGGUUGGCCCAUUGCCGGAGUUCGUGAAUGGCGGUAAUGAGCGGUAUGGAUCAACGGAUUAUGAGGAAUUUAUGAAGCAUUACUUUGCAACGAAGCUUGACGGAAGGAAGCACCUAGACAGAUUGAAGUUGGAGCAGUAGGCAGUAGCUAUCUCUACCGUAUCUAUCUCGCUGGAGGGACCAAUAAAUAAUUUUUCUAUGCGAUAAAUACUUCGUCCUCAAGCACCUAGAGAGCAGAUAUAAAUAAUGUUCUCCAGCUUUGAUUCGCAAAAAAUGCGCAUGAUUCAAAAUGUGUUAUGAUAGGAUAGGAUCGACUCGGUCCAUGACCGAGACGGUCAAGAUCAACCCUAACAUUCUCUCCAUUUAAUCUCAUACUCAUUUUC
RNA transcript from Zea mays, 1414 nucleotides. It is a transcript of the gene named S-norcoclaurine synthase 1-like, with no coding region annotated. The transcript is spliced from 3 exons. Lineage: Eukaryota; Viridiplantae; Streptophyta; Magnoliopsida; Poales; Poaceae. The record is from RefSeq and is marked validated.